This 422-nucleotide ribosomal RNA is filed under the name uncultured bacterium. RNAcentral's name for it is "partial 16S ribosomal RNA". It matches the Rfam family "Bacterial small subunit ribosomal RNA", at positions 360 to 774 of the family's 1533-position model. The record is from RNAcentral.
AAUAUUGGACAAUGGGGGCAACCCUGAUCCAGCCAUGCCGCGUGGGUGAAGGAGGUCUUCGGAUUGUAAAGCACUUUACGUUAGGAGGAAGGGCGUUAGGUUAAUACCCUGAAGUUUUGACGUUACCAACAGAAUAAGCCCCGGCUAACCCGUUGCUAGCAGCCGCGGUAAUACAGAGGGUGCAAGCGUUAAGCGGAAAUACUGGGCGUAAAGCGCGCGUAGGUGGUUCAGUAAGAUGGGUGUGAACUCCCCGGGCUUAACCUGGGAACUGCUUUCAUAACCGCUGAGCUAGAGUACGGUAGAGGGUAGUGGAAUUUCCUGUGUAGCGGUGAAAUGCGUAGAUAUAGGAAGGAACACCAGUGGCGAAGGCGACUACCUGGACUGAUACUGACACUGAGGUGCGAAAGCGUGGGGAGCAAACA